AGGGUUGUGGCUCAGUGGUAGAGCGAUUGCUUAGCAUGCGUGAGGCUCUGGGUUCGGUCCCCAGCACCACAU
Molecule: transfer RNA, 72 nt
Filed under: Ictidomys tridecemlineatus (thirteen-lined ground squirrel)
Lineage: Eukaryota; Metazoa; Chordata; Mammalia; Rodentia; Sciuridae
Description: Spermophilus tridecemlineatus (thirteen-lined ground squirrel) tRNA
Rfam family: tRNA
About the family: Transfer RNA (tRNA) molecules are approximately 80 nucleotides in length. Their secondary structure includes four short double-helical elements and three loops (D, anti-codon, and T loops).
Source: Rfam by way of RNAcentral